GCCGGUUUGGCUCAGUGGAUAGAGCAUUGGCCUGCGGACUCAAGGGUUGUGGGUUCGAUUCCGGUCAAGGGCA
Non-coding RNA from Myotis davidii, 73 nucleotides. NCBI's taxonomy places the organism in Eukaryota, Metazoa, Chordata, Mammalia, Chiroptera, Vespertilionidae. The record is from Rfam.